This 1058-nucleotide long non-coding RNA is filed under the name Homo sapiens (human). RNAcentral's name for it is "HSALNT0407250". The record is from RNAcentral. Lineage: Eukaryota; Metazoa; Chordata; Mammalia; Primates; Hominidae.
CCCAGCUACUUGGGAGGCUGAGGCAAGAGAACGGCGUGAACCCGGGAGGCGGAGCUUGCAGUGAGCCGAGAUAGCGCCACUGCACUCCAGCCUGGGUGACAGAGCGAGACUCCAUCUCAAAAUAAAUAAAUAAAAUAAAAUAAUUAGCCAGGCGAGGUGGCGGGCACCUGUAGUCCCAGCUACUCGGGAGGCUGAGGCAGGAGAAUGGCGUGAACCCGGGAGGCGCAGCUUGCGGUGAGCCGAGAUUGCGCCACUGCACUCCAGCCUGGGCAACAGAGUGAGACUCUGUCUCAAAAAAAAAAAAAAAAAAGAUAUGACUUGGGAAGUGAAAUUCUCUAAUCUGAAACUUUAUUGCAAAAAUUGUGGGCAUCUAGGAGAACUGGAGUUGUGAGCAGGUCAGAAGAGAAACUUUGCUGCUUCCUUUGUCAAUGCUGUAUGGAGAGAAAUUUGAGAUGCUUUGGAUAUUAAAAGAAAGACUGGAAGGCAGAAGAUACUGAAUUAACCACACCAAUGAAGAGCGGUAAGCAGACCAUGCGAGUAGCAAGACUAUUUCUGCAGAGUUCAUAACAGGAGCUCAUGUCUUUGCAGCUCUUCUCACCAAGAAUUGGAGUCUAUUUUCUCAACUCAUUAAAUCUGAGCUGGCUGUGUGACUUGCUUUGGCCAAAAAGACUUUAGCAAAUAAGAUAUAAGCACAAGCAGAGGUUUGAAAAGUGCUGGUUCGCUGGGGCUUACUGUAUUACUGCUCUUGAAAUGCUGAGAUGACCAUGUGAAUGAAUCCAAGGAAGCCUCCUGGAAGAUGAGAAUGCUGCAUAGAAGAAAACAGAGGUCUCCAGCUGACAGCCUGCCAAACACUAGAAAUGUGAAUGAGGCCAUUCUGGAUCAUCUUGUCACCAGCUGACCUCCCAGCUGACUAUCAGUGCAUGAGCAAACCCAGAAAAGAUGAGCUGAGCCAGUCCAGUGUAGAAGAAUUGCCCAGCCAACCCACAGAAUAAUGAGCUGAAUAAAAUGUUGUUUUAAGCCAUUAAGUUUGUGAUGUUUUAUUACUCAGUAAUAGCUAA